UGAGCAAUCUGCCCUUCUCAUCGGAAUAAGCGUUGGAAACAACGUCUAAUGCCGAAUACGACCUCCUUUCGCAUGAUCGGAGGUGGAAAGCUCCGGCGGAGAAGGAUGAGCUCGCGGCCUAUCAGCUAGUUGGUGAGGGUAAUGGCCCACCAAGGCGACUACGGGUAGCCCGGCCUGAGGAGGGUGACCGGCCACACUGGGACUGAGACACGGCCCAGACCUCCGUACGGGAGCAG
Molecule: ribosomal RNA, 236 nt
Filed under: uncultured bacterium
Lineage: Bacteria
Description: partial 16S ribosomal RNA
Rfam family: Bacterial small subunit ribosomal RNA
Source: RNAcentral